CGCGUAGGCGGGAAUGUAAGUCAGAUGUGAAAUCCCAAGGCUCAACCUUGGAACUGCAUUUGAAACUACAUUUCUUGAGGAUAGGCGGAGAAAACGGAAUUCCAAGUGUAGCGGUGAAAUGCGUAGAUAUUUGGAAGAACACCAGUGGCGAAGGCGGUUUUCUAGCUUAUUCCUGACGCUAAAGCGCGAAAGCAAGGGGAGCGAACAGGAUUAGAUACCCUGGUAGUCC
RNAcentral lists this ribosomal RNA (229 nucleotides) under uncultured bacterium. RNAcentral describes it as "partial 16S ribosomal RNA". It matches the Rfam family "Bacterial small subunit ribosomal RNA", at positions 568 to 796 of the family's 1533-position model. The record is from RNAcentral.